ACAAUAACAUAUUGUAAUAAUAAAUUUGCGCAAUUUAUUGUUAAAAUCAUACAAAGCAUAAUAUGUUCUUUUCUAAACAGUAAUAUUUUAGUUAGAAGAAUUACAAAUUAUGAUUUUUCUUUUCAUUAUAAUUCUUCGUAAUUUAUAUUUUAAAAAAUUUAGUGUACGGAAAUGGAAGAUGAAUUGAUGCCGCGUGACUAUUAACAAAUUCAUAUGGACGUACUAGUAUGCACUGGUAUAGUCCAAUUGAAUUCAAUUCUACGCUUAUGCGAGAAACGACCCAUAAUUUGGUUUAUGUCGCAACUUAGUUAUAUGGAGGUGGUACGGAUAUAUAUUACAUUGGAAUCGAGUCUCUGUGUAGAAUGGCAUAUCGACACGAUCCAGUCAAGGUCUGGACUAGAAGUGUAUUUCUUGCAUUCGUUUGACCAGUUUUUACUAUUUAAAAUGUUACCGUUAAUUAUACAUUUAUACGUCAUUCUAUUAAUCUUUGUGACAAAAAUAAUACAUGGCCAGUCGUUGUGUUCUUGUAAUCAAACGGAUUUAGAUUUUGCGACCGGUGUUAAUCUGCUUUAUUACAAAUGUAAUGGUGAAAUUCCUGCAACAAUCGCCUAUCCUAUCACAGUGCCACAAACGUUGUUGAACGUAUUGGACGACAAUCAACGAAUAAUCUUUUACGUUUAUGGAUAUUUGCAAUUUCCGGAGGAUAAAAAUGUUCUGUUAAUGGUGGAAGCGCUUUGUCACGGGAGAACGGAUAACGUUGUGCUACUCGAUUGGAGUAAAUACUCGAUGAAUGGCUCUUACGCGUCCGUUUUCAGAAAUGCUGAAAAAGUAGGGAGUUUAUUCGCACAAAGUAUACGACUGCUUGUGGAUAGCGGCUUGGACGUGUCAAAAAUUUAUAUUAUCGGCCACUCCCUGGGUGCUCAUAUAGCUGGCUUCGUGGGUAAAUGCAAUUCCUUCAAGAUAUCUCGCAUAACAGCAUUGGAUCCUGCAAAUCCUAUUUUUUAUUUUCCCGGAUGUUACCUUACACAUAAUGAUGCAAUGUGGGUCGAUGUUAUUCAUACAGACAUAGGUGGCUAUGGUACACUAACAUCUGUAGGAACUGCGGACUAUUAUGUGAAUGGUGGAACUCGUCCUCAACCUGGUUGCAAAUUACUUGGCUUACCAUUAAGCGAUAUCUCUGUAGUCAUCAAAAAUCAGUCGUGCUAUAUGCAAAAUUGAAACUUCAUCCUAUGAAAUUUGAAGCAAAGGAGUGUCCUUCCUUUUUUCGCUAUAUAUUAAAUGAUUGUUAUAAAGUUUGGCAAAUCGAUAUUGGAUAUGCAGCAGCAAACAUACGUGGAUCAUUUUACUUUCGUGUAAAUACAAUAUAGUACAAUAUAGUACAGUUAUUUAUUACAUUAAAGAAGGUUUGUAGAAAGUUUAACAAUACGCUAAUUAUUAAUAAUAAACUUUCUUAAAUUUUUAAUAGUAUCAAUAACAAAAAAGAUAAAAAAUUUUAAAAAUUAGAUAAUAAAUAAAAAAUAGUCAAAUAGAGUGUGAUGUAAUUUGCGAAAUCUAUGAGACUCUAUAUAUUUAGAAUGUAUAUUACAAUUUUAUUAGAAGAACUGUGAAUAUAUAAUAUUGCGACUAUUUUUCUCAUAUGCUGUUUGAUAAUUUUAAUAAAUUUAAUUAAUUUAAUUUUUUCUUUAGUAUAAUGUCAAUCAAUUUUCGUCAUCUUCAUGAAUUUGUUUUAUAUAACUACCUCAUAAAAUCUAAAGUUGCCCACUUAUUAAAAAAAAGACUAUUAACACAAAAGUAAAUUGUUUUCUGUUUAAUGGAAAUACAUGCAUGCAUUAUAUAAAAUAAUAUUAUGUUAGCAAAUGUGAUCGUAUUAUUAUGCAAAACGUUAAAUAAAUUAUUUUAAUUAUAUAUUCUACAGAUUAAUUAAAAUCAGAAGUUCUUGUGAAAUUAUAUCAAAGUUCACUAUAGCUUGAGGGCAAAUCCAGCAAAACGUUAAUAUCGAAUAGAGUUUGCACGCUUAGCAUUGCAAUUAUGCGUGCAUGUAAUACGCAUUCCGAUUACUCUAUUAACAGUACCUUGCACAGCUUAGCUAAUAUUGAUUUUUAUUACUAAACAGGUUUAUUUUUUGUUUUGUCAUGUGUCAAUAUUAAGUAGAUUGCGUAGCAAUUAUCAUAAAUUAAAGUAAGCUUAAGGUUUUCAAUGUAUAUUUGAUAUUACUAUUAACAUUUCUAAAAAAUCAAGAUUUUUAACAUUUGACAUAUCAUAUUUUUAAAAAGUAUCUAUUUGUGAUACUAUAUUAAACAGAAUAUAUGAAGUAUGCAACAAUAGAACAUCAAAGAAAUAUAAAAAACCAUAAAUAAAAGAGAGCUUGUAGUUUUAUUGUCAAAUCUGUUAUUAUUAAUAUUAAAUUUGUUUUGAAUGAGUAAAAUUAUUCAUAAAAACGAGUAAAUUUUAAUCAAAUUGGUGAAUAAUAAGAAAAAUAUAAUAAAGAGAAGAAUGCUAAUUUGGUCCAAUUGUGUAAAAGAUAUCAACGGAAAGUAUGGGCGUAUUGAUAAGUGACAUUAUUUAUAUUAAUACGAUUACAAACUAUUAUCUUUUAUGAGAAAAAAAUUACUCAAGUUUACAUUAACCUCUUAAUUUAAUAGCUUAAUUUUGUGCUAGAUUGUGUAAAAUAAGAACUAAAUAUCUGCGUUAACAUACUUGUUCUUUUUUUGGACAGGAUUUUUUGCUAGUUUUUAUCUAUAAUUUUCAAAGAACAAUCUGUAUAUUUUUUUAAUAAAAAAAAAUGAUAGCACA
Molecule: RNA transcript, 2793 nt
Organism: Monomorium pharaonis (pharaoh ant)
Lineage: Eukaryota; Metazoa; Arthropoda; Insecta; Hymenoptera; Formicidae
Gene name: lipase member H
Exons: 7
Source: RefSeq, a predicted model, not a curated record